AAUCUCUAUCUUUAUCACUCAUUCACUCUCCUUCUCUCUCUCUCUCUCUCUCUCUCUCUCUCUCUCUCUCUUCUCCAGAACCCCAUUUGUUUAUUUGAGUGUGGAAGAGCGAAAGAAAACGACGCAACAACACGCUGCAAUGUUGAUAGUUGAAAUUCUAUUUCUUUUACGAGACAUAGUCAUCGCUUGCGUGGCAGCGGUGUGGAAUUUCCUUAUCACACCCAAGUAUAAAGAUGUAAAAGAUGAAAUUGUCCUGAUCACUGGCUCUGCUAAUGGCAUCGGACGGGGCCUUGCCCUCGCUUUUGCUCGACGUGGUUGUAUCCUGGUCUUGUGGGACAUUGAUGAAGCAGAAAACGAGAAGACAGCCCAAUUGGUUACGGAGGCAGGGGCUAAGGCUUAUCCGUACUACUGUGACUUAAGUAAAAGGAAAGAAAUCUAUAGAAUUGGUAAGAAAGUACAGAAGGAAGUUGGAGAUGUUACUAUUUUAGUCAACAAUGCCGGUGUUGUGAUUGGGAAAAGUUUUUUGGAAUGUCCAGAUGAAGAAAUUGAAAAUUCCUUUCAAGUAAAUACGCUUGCUUACUUUUGGACUAUAAAAGUAUUUCUACCAAAAAUGAUUGAGAAAAACUAUGGGCAUAUUGUGAACAUGUCAAGUUCUUUGGGCCUAACAGGAAUAAAUAAGUUAACUGAUUAUUGCUCCACAAAAUUUGCUGUGGUUGGCUUCAACGAAGUCUUAAGCUAUGAACUUCAACAUGACCAGUAUGAUGGCAUUAAGACUACCCUGAUAUGCCCACAGUGUGUCAAAACACGUAUGUUUGAAGGUUGUAAAUUAAGAUUUCCUCCUAUCUGCCCAUUUAUGGAAUUGGAUUAUGUUGUGAAUAAGUCAAUGCAGGCCAUUCUGACUAACCAGUACAUACUCUGUUUACCAAGACUUGUAUACUUUCAAGCUGUAUUUAAAGCGUAAGUGGCUCUAAACAAAGAAGUACCAAUCACAGUUUGUUUAAUGGUGCUAAGAGUUCAUGCAUUCUUGGAAUAUACAUUUGAUAAUAACUUGCAAGACCUAGAAAAGCUUGUAAGGUCGUUAUAUUAGUUGGAGGAGGCAUAUCUUUAAUUGCGUCUGCCCUCGAUGGGUCCGGUCAUCAUCCAUUCCUGUCGAUAAUUUGUCCUAAAUACUUAAUUUCAGAAUUUUACCAACUGAAGCCUGGAUUGCCUCUUGUAGGUUUUUUGGUACCAUGACUUUUAUGGAUAGUUUUGUUGGUAAUAAAAAAGACUGAACUGGACUAGGACUAGGAAUUAUUUAUUAAUUUAACUUUAGAUUGGUUUGAAGCCUGAACUUAACUAAUCAAAAUCUUUCUUGUAUUACCUCUGACAUACUUUCCAUCAAACAUUAUUUCUUGUUUUCUCAGAUCAUGCUUAAACAUUUCUCUCUAUAUAUUCCUUUGACAAUAUUUCUGCCCCAGCUACAACAAAAUCCUGAUCUACUUCUCAAUAAUUACUUGUCACUUUCUAGGAGCUAGAGAAAAGACACUAAUCUUUCAUUUAAGUUUGUACUCAGUAUCUUUAUAUUAAACUCAUUUCUCUCUCA
RNA transcript from Octopus bimaculoides (California two-spot octopus), 1582 nucleotides. It is a transcript of the gene named epidermal retinol dehydrogenase 2, with no coding region annotated. The record is from RefSeq and is a predicted model, not a curated record. Lineage: Eukaryota; Metazoa; Mollusca; Cephalopoda; Octopoda; Octopodidae.